GUAUGUAUGUGUGUAUAUAUAUACAUCUAUCUCUAUAUCUAUAUCUAUAUCCAUAUCUAUAUGUCUCACCCAGGAGAGAGUGCAUAUGCGUGAGAGAGAAGCAAGAAGGAAUAAGGAAAACAAAAGUAAAGGGAGUGAGAAGAGGAAGAGUUAAUGAAUAGUUUUCUCUCAUUCUGCUAAAAAUGCCUGUAUGCUCUCUUUUUUCAAUCCAGAAAAUAAAGUCCCAAACUAAUGUGGCACUCUUACAAUUUAAUCAUCAAUUCAUUGUGAACAACUGGAUGAGGAAAAGUUGCCCAGAGUUACCAAAAAUAAAAUUCUUUAGAAAGGAGAAAAGCCAUGCCUUAGGAAAUUGGUAGAAGAUAUGUGAUGGACACAGCAGCUUCUCAUCAAUUGACUUGGUUUUACGUUAAAGGAAACAUGCAAAUCUUUGUAGGUUAAACCACAUAUGAAAUUCAUGAGAGCCUCUUGGGCUUUAGGCACUGACUCUGUGGAAAUACUAGCUGUAAGCUGCUUUCUUAGGGAAGGGAUGUUUAUUCUGUCACGGUGCUACUGAAACAGCUCAAAGUUACCACCUUAGAAAUCUAGCUUUCACCAGGUACUUUAAAAUUCCUUUAAAAAAGUGUAUUUUAUUAAUUUCAUUCAUAAUUUAUUAGCCCUUAAAUUUUUCCAGUAGCAUUUGAUCUGCCAGAGCUUCCAAAUGUAGGAUAUUUUGUACUUCGAAUGCAAACUAGUUGUCUCUUGAAACUGGGUAAUGGGAAAAAUUUAGCACAGAAAUAUCCCUGUGACCAAGUUUCUGAGUAAACGUGCUAGGGGAUUCAGUUGGGUGCUAAGAAUACACGGAAGAAUACACUCAUGCAUCCCUCCUUUGAUUAAUGCAACAAAUAUUUAUUGUCUACUUCGUGUCAGACAUUGUUUGCUUCUUGCUUUAGGGAUUAAGCAGUGAACAAAGCUGUUGAGGACCUUGUCCUUAUGAAGCACAUGUCCAGAGUUAUGGGAAGCAGAAAGAAAAAAAAUACUGCAAAUACUUUAUAUUGUAUGUUGUAAAAUAAAGCAGGACAGGUGGAUCAUACCACUCCUUUGUUUAAAUUCGUCAUUUAUUUCUGUGACUUUAGGAGGGAGUCUAAAUCCCUUGCCUGUAUCCUGGCACUCUGUUUCUUCAGGCUUCUCUCUUGUUGCCCCCAUUCUUACUCAAGGCUGCAACUUUCUCUUUUCUUGGCUUGACCCUAGGACUUUUCAAAUAUACCUCUGAGACCCUUUAUCCUCUGCUCCAUCACUAUCUUGCCUACACCUGGCCAGCUCCCGCUGAACCUUACGUCUCAGCCUAAAUACUGCUCUUUUCAGGAAGUCCCAAAAUUCUCCCUCCAAGUCUGGUUGUGCAUUGUCAUGAGUGGUCCCUUACCACCUGGUACAUCCAUUCAUCUCUUAACAUGGCGCUUGUUGCCCUGUAUUAUGGCACUUGUGUGUGUUUUGUGUGUGUGUUGGGGGGAAGGUGUUGUUUUGUUCUGCUUUUGUUUGACUGGCACACAGUUCAUACUUGAUUAAUGGGUGAAUGGAUAGAUGACAGAGUGGAUGGAUGAAGGAAUGAAUGUGAUAAUGUAAUGUACUCUAUCUGAUACUGGACUUUUUAAGGCUGUAGAGACUCCCAUUCUUUGAGUUCACACCCAAUAGUCCUCCUUUUCCUAAUUCCUCUAACGGUGAGUAAAUUUUCUUAUUAGUGACUCACCAAUUUUUCCCGCAGCAGGUGGACAAAACCUCUUUAGUAGACUAGCCUUUCUUAAGCCAGUGGGGGGAGAAAAGAUUCUAUCUUUUAGGGAAUUGAAGGCUAUGAUGUAAUGUUAAUAGCAUAGGAGAGAGCAGAAGCUUUGCGUGUCUGAAGCAUGGCUCUGUGUUGAAAGCUCUUGAGAACACUAUGCCGGGGGUGCUUUUCUAAAUCAAACUUCAUCCAUGAAAUGUAAUUUGGGGAACUUUCCACGUGGCGCCGUGUGGACUCUGGCAGACAAUAGUAUUUUUAUUUGCUAGUAGUUUUCUUUCGGAGAGGGAGAGUGAUUUCGCUAUUUGGUUUUUUCUUCCAUUUAGUGCUGCAUAAUGCUUAUUAGAGACAAAAUCUUACUACUUCCCUGCUUCGCGUGCUGUAAGCUACCUAAAUGUGUUCUAAGUAUUGUCUUAGAGGGCGUGUGUGUGUGUGUGUGUGUGUGUGUGUGUGUGUGUGUGUGUGUGUGUGUGUGUGUUUAGGAAUUUGAGCCAGCCCCCACCAUUUUCCUGCCCUCCCUGAGGCUGCAGGACUUUAGGAUUUAUUGUAGCCACUCUUAGAAGGACAGUUGCAGUUGUGUCUGUAGAGAGAGCCUAUAAAUAUCAGGGCAUUUGGUAACUGAGAGUAGAGACAACUGUCAUAAUCAUGGGUUCUGCAAAGACUUGAGUCUGCUGGAAGCAGUGUCUUGGGGUCGGCAACAGGCCCUUCAGGAGGAUGGCUGGGGAGGGGUUUGGGGACAAUCAAAAGGACUAUAUUUUGCAACUCGCUUAUUUUCCUGAAAUGAAAUUCAUAGGUUGCCUGUCCUGAGAAAACUCAAAGACAAUGGUGCCAAGGAAGAACAGAAUUUCAUAAAUGAAGAAUGACAGAUGGCACUAAGAGUUCAAGUAAGAAGAGUCUUGGAGAUUCUCAGCAAACAAUCUCAGUUAAGAAAGAGGAAAUGAAGUUAUUUAUGUGACUGAAUUUGCAUAGCAGAGACUACAGUUCCACCAAAUACUCGAUGAGAAAAUGAGUCUCGACUUGCAGAGCCAAGAUGACCAAAUAGGAACAGCUCCAGUCUACAGCUCCCAGCCUGAGCGACGCAGAAGAUGGGUGAUUUCUGCAUUUCCAUCUGAGGUACCGGGUU
This 2873-nucleotide long non-coding RNA is filed under the name Homo sapiens (human). Its description in RNAcentral is "HSALNT0368964". Lineage: Eukaryota; Metazoa; Chordata; Mammalia; Primates; Hominidae. The record is from RNAcentral.